GUAGGUCCGGGGGGCUUUGAACUGCUGUGGGGGGAAGCACGGUCACUGCGUGAUCCAGCAGGGAGCGAAUGGUGAGACCGACCCUGAGUGGG
RNAcentral lists this non-coding RNA (92 nucleotides) under Actinomycetota bacterium. Its description in RNAcentral is "Actinobacteria bacterium c-di-GMP sequence". It matches the Rfam family "c-di-GMP-II-GAG riboswitch aptamer". Lineage: Bacteria; Bacillati; Actinomycetota. The record is from RNAcentral.